RNAcentral lists this ribosomal RNA (680 nucleotides) under uncultured Microscilla sp. RNAcentral describes it as "bacterial SSU rRNA". It matches the Rfam family "Bacterial small subunit ribosomal RNA", at positions 74 to 753 of the family's 1533-position model. Lineage: Bacteria; Pseudomonadati; Bacteroidota; Cytophagia; Cytophagales; Microscillaceae. The record is from RNAcentral.
CAGAGCUUGCUUUGACAGAAACCGGCGCACGUUUGCGUAACACGUAUGCAACCUACCUAUUACUGGGAGAUAGCCCGGGGAAACUCGGAUUAAUAUCCCAUAGUAUCGUUUGAUGGCAUCUGAAGACGAUUAAAGCUCCGGCGGUAAUAGAUGGGCAUGCGGAAGAUUAGCUAGUUGGUGAGGUAACGGCUCACCAAGGCAACGAUCUUUAGGGGUUCUGAGAGGAUUAUCCCCCACACUGGCACUGAGAUACGGGCCAGACUCCUACGGGAGGCAGCAGUAGGGAAUAUUGGUCAAUGGGUGAGAGCCUGAACCAGCCAUGCCGCGUGCAGGAUGACGGCCUUCUGGGUUGUAAACUGCUUUUCUACAAGAAGAAAAAAUCCUUGCGAGGAUAAUUGACGGUAUUGUAGGAAUAAGCACCGGCUAACUCCGUGCCAGCAGCCGCGGUAAUACGGAGGGUGCAAGCGUUGUCCGGAUUUAUUGGGUUUAAAGGGUACGUAGGUGGAUCUUUAAGUCCGUGGUGAAAGCCUGCAGCUUAACUGUAGAAUUGCCAUGGAUACUGGAGAUCUUGAAUUCAGUUGAGGUAGGCGGAAUUUACGGUGUAGCGGUGAAAUGCAUAGAUACCAUAAAGAACACCCAUUGCGAAGGCAGCUUACUGGACUUGAAUUGACGCUGAGGUA